GGCCUCAUAGCUCAGUUGGUCAGAGCACCCGGCUCAUAACCGGAGGGUCGAAGGUUCAAGUCCUUCUGAGGCCACCA
This 77-nucleotide transfer RNA is filed under the name bacterium. Its description in RNAcentral is "tRNA-Ile". It matches the Rfam family "tRNA". Rfam says of the family: Transfer RNA (tRNA) molecules are approximately 80 nucleotides in length. Their secondary structure includes four short double-helical elements and three loops (D, anti-codon, and T loops). Further hydrogen bonds mediate the characteristic L-shaped molecular structure. tRNAs have two regions of fundamental functional importance: the anti-codon, which is responsible for specific mRNA codon recognition, and the 3' end, to which the tRNAs corresponding amino acid is attached (by aminoacyl-tRNA synthetases). tRNAs cope with the degeneracy of the genetic code in two manners: having more than one tRNA (with a specific anti-codon) for a particular amino acid; and 'wobble' base-pairing, i.e. permitting non-standard base-pairing at the 3rd anti-codon position. The record is from RNAcentral.